UACGUAGGGUGCGAGCGUUAAUCGGAAUUACUGGGCGUAAAGCGUGCGCAGGCGGUGAUGUAAGACAGGUGUGAAAUCCCCGGGCUUAACCUGGGAACUGCAUUUGUGACUGCAUCGCUGGAGUGCGGCAGAGGGGGAUGGAAUUCCGCGUGUAGCAGUGAAAUGCGUAGAUAUGCGGAGGAACACCGAUGGCGAAGGCAAUCCCCUGGGCCUGCACUGACGCUUAUGCACGAAAGCGUGGGGAGCAAACAGG
RNAcentral lists this ribosomal RNA (253 nucleotides) under uncultured bacterium. RNAcentral describes it as "partial 16S ribosomal RNA". It matches the Rfam family "Bacterial small subunit ribosomal RNA", at positions 524 to 776 of the family's 1533-position model. The record is from RNAcentral.